ACCCAGAGGCUGCUUCCAAAACUGCUGUGCUCGAGUGUGAGAGAGGCUCGUGGAAUUGCAGGUGUAGCGGUGAAAUGCGUAGAUAUCUGCAGGAACACCCGUGGCGAAAGCGGCGAGCUGGAUCACUACUGACGCUGAGGAACGAAAGCUAGGGGAGCAAACAGGAUUAGAUACCCUGGUAGUCCUAGCCCUAAACGAUCAGGACUUGGGGUGCCGCCCGUUCGGGCGUCGUCCCGGAGCUAACGCGUUAAGUCCUGCACCUGGGGAGUACGGUCGCAAGACUGAAACUCAAAGGAAUUGACGGGGGCCCGCACAAGCGGUGGAACAUGUGGUUCAAUUCGACGCUACGCGAGGAACCUUACCUGGGCUCGAAAUGCUAGUGACCAGCUGUAGAAAUACGGCCUUCCCGCAAGGGACACUAGUAUAGGCGCUG
RNAcentral lists this ribosomal RNA (433 nucleotides) under uncultured bacterium. Its description in RNAcentral is "bacterial SSU rRNA". It matches the Rfam family "Bacterial small subunit ribosomal RNA", at positions 612 to 1043 of the family's 1533-position model. The record is from RNAcentral.